UGCUUAUCCACUUCAACUGGUUCGGUCGAAGGUAAGGACGUCGAAUGCUUGGUUGUUUUCGAUUGUGAUUCUGUUCCAUUAUUUAGACUUAGAUACUGAUCUCCCGUUACAGGUUCAUUCAUAGUAGCUGUAAAGGCAGACCUUUUGCUUUGGAGCUCUUGGACAAUAGUGGAAGUUUUAGGACUAUAGAACGGGAUGUCGGGAUGUAAUUGCUCACAGAAUAAUAGGAUGUCAACCAGUUGGGAGAUCGGAAGACUUAAAAGAUAAGACUUUUUCUCUUCCGAAGACAGAUUUAGUUCUCGUGCCGUAGUUCCAGUUACGAGAGGCGCUUGCUUUUUUCUCCUAAUGCAAUCAUCACAAAACCAUUCUCCAUUGGGGGAAUCUAAAAGUUCAUCAGAAAUAUAGGGUUCAUGACAAAGUUGAUGGAAUGGAGUGUUACAACCAUCACAGAAAACGAUGCGAUUUUUUGGUGGAGAUUGAAGUCGUUGACAAACCGAACAUUUCAUAGCUAAUGCGACCACAGGUCGACGACCUGGGCCACGUCGUCUAGUAGGUAAUUUUACAAGGGGAUCGAAAUGAUUAGGGCGAUGCACUUUUCUUCCUGAUUUUGUUUUGACACCUUCCAAAUUAAAUUGCUCUUCCCUACCAUCUUCAGUAGAAAAGAGGGCGUCAGCGGUGUUGUCACGUUCAAUAGCCAAACUGGCAGGCCAUGAUCUUUUCCGAGCAAUGUUCAUAGCAAUUGACAUAGGAGGUAAUGGCGAUGAACUUGCAGGAACAUUUGGGGGUAACGCAGAUUUUGUUUGGGAAUCAGCACUUCUAUGAUGCGCAUAAUUAGAUGAAGAUGCGUCUUCAGUGAAAGGUGCCUGUUCGCUUUUUGCAUCGGUUUCCUGAUUUUUACUAGAUUCUAUUUCUUUAGCAACAUCAUCAUUUUUGUACGAACCGAAAGCACCUGACUCCUUGUUUGGCUCGUGAAAGUGUUGGAACUGAUUUUCCAAAUGCAUGUUUGAAUUCACGUUAGGAUUUUGUAUAUCCUGAAAGGCUUGAUCUAUUAGCACAGAGCCUCCAUUUUGAUUAGAUUCCUCCCCCUCAAACAUCGUUGGAUGCAAAUCAUUGGGAAAUCGACGACUACCGUCGAAUUGAAAAGGAUAUGAUGCCGCUUCAAAAGAACCGCCAUCGUCGUCAUAGUACGAUGAAUUCGGCAUUAGGUUUUAAAUCAUUCAUAUGCUCAUGUAAAAAACAAAUGAAAAAAUGAAGCAAAUGGCAAAAAAUGCGAAUGUGUAAGUUCAACACGCGUGUUUGGAAUUUAGGUGAGAUUUAACGCAACUUAUAAAUCGUUUGCUGCUGUUACUCCAAUUAUGUUUUGCUAGCGAAAUGAGAUUGAUCAUCACUAUAUCUCGCUUAUUCACUUCUCACUACAACUCACUGUCUAGUCAUAUAUAAAUACUGCACGUAUCCAUGAAGAGCUGAAAUCUCACAUUUAUUAGAGCUUUUUUAUUUUUAAUUUUGUUAAAUUUAAUUAUUCAUGCAUUAACUAGUCAUAGCUAUAAAUAUGAAUGAAAAUUUGGUCU
Molecule: non-coding RNA, 1568 nt
Organism: Schizosaccharomyces pombe (fission yeast)
Lineage: Eukaryota; Fungi; Ascomycota; Schizosaccharomycetes; Schizosaccharomycetales; Schizosaccharomycetaceae
Source: the annotation of a GenBank genome assembly